GUAAUUGCUCAGUGGUUAAGAGCACUGACUGCUCAUCCAGAGGUCCUAAGUUCAAAUCCCAGGAACCACA
RNAcentral lists this transfer RNA (70 nucleotides) under Mus musculus (house mouse). Its description in RNAcentral is "tRNA-Ser". Lineage: Eukaryota; Metazoa; Chordata; Mammalia; Rodentia; Muridae. The record is from RNAcentral.